This 403-nucleotide ribosomal RNA is filed under the name uncultured bacterium. Its description in RNAcentral is "bacterial SSU rRNA". It matches the Rfam family "Bacterial small subunit ribosomal RNA", at positions 358 to 773 of the family's 1533-position model. The record is from RNAcentral.
GGAAUAUUGCACAAUGGGCGAAAGCCUGAUGCAGCGACGCCGCGUGAGGGAUGACGGCCUUCGGGUUGUAAACCUCUUUCAGCAGGGACGAAGCGCAAGUGACGGUACCUGCAGAAGAAGCACCGGCUAACUACGUGCCAGCCGCCGCGGUAAUACGUAGGGUGCGAGCGUUGUCCGGAAUUAUUGGGCGUAAAGAGCUCGUAGGCGGUUUGUCGCGUCGGCCGUGAAAACUUGGGGCUUAACUCCAAGCUUGCGGUCGAUACGGGCAGACUUGAGUUCGGCAGGGGAGACUGGAAUUCCUGGUGUAGCGGUGAAAUGCGCAGAUAUCAGGAGGAACACCGGUGGCGAAGGCGGGUCUCUGGGCCGACACUGACGCUGAGGAGCGAAAGCGUGGGGAGCGAAC